This 434-nucleotide ribosomal RNA is filed under the name uncultured microorganism. RNAcentral's name for it is "bacterial SSU rRNA". It matches the Rfam family "Archaeal small subunit ribosomal RNA", at positions 330 to 719 of the family's 1478-position model. The record is from RNAcentral.
GCGCAGCAGUCGAGAAACCUCCGCAAUGCUCGAAAGAGCGACGGGGGGACUCCAAGUGCCUACGCUCAGCGUAGGCUGUUCCCGAGCCUAAAAAAGCUCGGGGAGUAAGGGCUGGGUAAGACGGGUGCCAGCCGCCGCGGUAAUACCCGCAGCCCGAGUGGUGGCCGCUAUUAUUGGGCCUAAAGCGUCCGUAGCCGGCUCGGUAAAUGCCUGGGUAAAUCGUCUGGCCCAACCAGACGAAUUCCGGGUAGACUGCCGGGCUAGGGACCGGAGGAGGGAGAGGGGUACUCCGAGGGGUAGGGGUGAAAUCAGCAAGGUGAGUUGCUGAUGUAACUUGCCUUGCAAGUCACAAUCCUGUAAUCCCUGGAGGACCACCGGUGGCGAAGGCGCUCUCCUAGGACGGGCCCGACGGUGAGGGACGAAAGCCGAGGGGA